UACGUAGGUUCCAAGCGUUGCCCGGUUUUAUUGGGCGUAAAGCGUCUGUAGGUGGUUUUCUAAGUCUUGUUUCAAAGACCCUGACUUAAUCAGGGAAAGGGGCAGGAUACUGGAAGACUGGAGUUAUAUCGGGGUUACUGGAAUUUGUGGUGUAGGGGUAAAAUCCGUGGAUACCACAAAGAACACCAAGCGCGAAGGCGGGUAACCAGGUAUACACUGACACUGAGAGACGAAAGCUAGGGUAGCCAAUCAGAUUAGAGACCUGAGUAGUCCUAGCCGUAAACAUUGUCUGUUAAUUUUCCCCCUUUUUGGGAGGAGAUGCUAGCUAACGCGUUAAACAGACCGCCUGGGGAGUAUAGCCGCAAGGCCGAAACUCAAACGAAUUGGCGGGGAGGCGCACAACCAGUGGAGCAUGUGGUUUAAUUCGAUACGAAGCGAUAAACCUUACCCGGGUUUGAAAUGUAUCUGCAAGCCGAAUGAAAGUUUGGCCGCCUUCGAGGGUGAUACACAGCUGUUGCAUGGCUGUCGUCAGCUCGUGACGUGAGUUGUUCUCUUAAGUGAGGUAACGAGCGCAACCCCUAUCGUAUGUUACUGUAUCAUACGAGACUGCCCAGCAUUAUUUUGUUGGGAGGAAGGAGGGGACGACGUCAAGUCAUCAUGAUGCUUAUAUCCGGGGCUACACACAUCCUACAAUGGAUUGUACAGAGGGUUGCAAUACCGCAAGGUGGAGCUAAUCCCUAAAACAAUCCUCAGUUGGGAUUGCAGGCUGAAACUCGCCUGCAUGAACUUGGAAUUGGUAGUAAUCGCAAAUCAGCAGAUUGCGGUGAAUACGUUCUCGCCUCU
This 843-nucleotide ribosomal RNA is filed under the name uncultured bacterium. RNAcentral describes it as "SSU rRNA". It matches the Rfam family "Bacterial small subunit ribosomal RNA", at positions 524 to 1381 of the family's 1533-position model. The record is from RNAcentral.